Molecule: long non-coding RNA, 298 nt
Organism: Asterias rubens (European starfish)
Lineage: Eukaryota; Metazoa; Echinodermata; Asteroidea; Forcipulatida; Asteriidae
Exons: 4
Source: RefSeq, a predicted model, not a curated record
AGUAAAUUUCACCAUCCCCAAAGAGAUAUCUACCCGUCAACAUGUAGAUUAUUGUAAGAGGAGCUGCUCUCCAAUGAAAGUCAGGCUUACCAUCUCCAAAGAGAUCUACCCGUCCACAAUUGGAUGCAAAGACGGAAAGCACUUGCCAGAGUUAGGCUUACCAUCUACGAAGAUAUCAGCCCGCCAACAAGUUUUCGAGCCUGUCCCAUUAUAAAUGAGCUUCAAGUACUCUCCAGUGAGCUCCAGUCUCCAAAACAUCAACAUGUCAACAAUUAAUGUCUGAGACCCACUUAUCAUC